GCAUAUCAAUAAGCGGAGGAAAAGAAACCAACAGGGAUUGCCCUAGUAACGGCGAGUGAAGCGGCAACAGCUCAAAUUUGAAAUCUGGCCUUCGGGUCCGAGUUGUAAUUUGUAGAGGAUGCUUUUGGUGAAGUGCCUUCCGAGUUCCUUGGAACAGGACGCCUUAGAGGGUGAGAGCCCCGUACGGUUGGACACUAAGCCUCUGUAAAGCUCCUUCGACGAGUCGAGUAGUUUGGGAAUGCUGCUCUAAAUGGGAGGUAAAUUUCUUCUAAAGCUAAAUACCGGCCAGAGACCGAUAGCGCACAAGUAGAGUGAUCGAAAGAUGAAAAGUACUUUGAAAAGAGGGUUAAAUAGCACGUGAAAUUGUUGAAAGGGAAGCGUUUAUGACCAGACCUUUGCCAGGCGGAUCAUCCGGUGUUCUUCACCGGUGCACUUCGCCUGGCUCAGGCCAGCAUCGAUUUCCGUAGGGGGAUAAAGGCCAUGGGAACGUAGCUCUCUUCGGGGAGUGUUAUAGCCCUAGGUGUAAUACCCUUAUGGGGAUCGAGGUUCGCGCUUCUGCAAGGAUGCUGGCGUAAUGGUCAUCAACGACCCGUCUUGAAACACGGACCAAGGAGUCGAACAUUUAUGCGAGUGUUUGGGUGUUAAACCCUCACGCGGAAUGAAAGUGAACGGAGGUGAGAGCCCUUCUGGGGUGCAUCAUCGACCGAUCCUGAUGUCUUCGGAUGGAUUUGAGUAAGAGCAUAACUGUUCGGACCCGAAAGAUGGUGAACUAUGCGUGGAUAGGGUGAAGCCAGAGGAAACUCUGGUGGAGGCUCGCAGCGGUUCUGACGUGCAAAUCGAUCGUCAAAUCUGCGCAUGGGGGCGAAAGACUUAUCGAACCAUCUAGUAGCUGG
Molecule: ribosomal RNA, 893 nt
Filed under: Retiticulatihypha quercicola
Lineage: Eukaryota; Fungi; Ascomycota; Sordariomycetes; Xylariales; Diatrypaceae
Description: LSU rRNA
Rfam family: Eukaryotic large subunit ribosomal RNA
Source: RNAcentral